CACAAACGUUAUACUAUAUUCAAAUUUCAAAUGCAAUCAGUAUUUCUCUGGUAGUCGUCAUUGUCACAUCACAUAACCAAAACCAUAUAACCAACAGUCGUUAAUUUCAAGAGCCUAACAAUGAGAUUCAAUUCAAUCAACAUUUAUACGGCCUGCCGGCCGUUGUACUCAAUACGCCAUAAACGCCCACCCCUCUAUAACAUCAUGUACUCGUAGCCACACAGCAAAUAAUAUGCCACAACACAAAACUAACGAUUGUCAGCUCAUCUGACAAGUGCAUCUGGCUCUUCAAAAAACAGCAACAAAUACAAUUUAUAAAAAAAGUAAUAUACCUACCAUUUAAAAUUCAUUUGUUUAAUAAAUAAUACUCAAGUGCAAUCACACACAACACAACAGCAUGCACCCUCUACGUGCAUCCUCAGUCCCCACGAUGCGAUGAUAAUUUUUAAUAAACUUGCUAACGAGACUCAAAAAUAAAAAAAAAAAAAUUAUUUUUUUUUCAAAAAAAGUCUAGAAACAUGCAACAAAAAAUUGAAUAAAAACCACACUCUUAAAAAAAUAAAAAAAACAACCAGACCGCUUGUGUUCGUGCGUACGCGUAUUUGCAGUUGGUUGUUCUGUUUCAAACAGAAAUAAAAUAAAUUAAUUAAUUUAUUGUGGUCGAGCCAUAAAUGUGCCCAACAGCAACAUCAACAACAACAACAACAGCAACAUCGGCAGCGUGUAUACAAAAAACCAGCCUAACAGCAAACAGCAAACGCAAAACGCAGAACAACUGCAAUAAAUUCAAUGAUUAUGCUUUUUAUGAUAAUAUGGGAAUCGGGCCUCGUUCCACCGCCGCUGACACGUCCACCCGCCGUCAACCCUCGACUCGACGCACGGUCUAACCUCAACCCUGCCAGCUCAGCGUCAAGUGGCCUACCAUAAGCACACAUCAGAUCUCUAUACGAACAGCAAACAUACAUAAUACAGAACCGGCCCGGCCGGCCACGUUGCAUGGCAGGCCAAGGCAAAGGCAAGGGGAUUGAAUUUGGAUACUUGGCCAAACUACGAGUGGGUGACAUAUAGUCAGUUCCACCAAUCGAGCUGCCAGCCAGUCCUGCGAGUCGUGAGACUCUUAACCCGAAUAUGGAAAUUUUGAAAAUUCCUGUUUUGGACGAUGUGGUGUGGAUAACGUUGGAAGUUUAAGCAAAAAAGAUGAUGUUGAUGAUGACGACUCUGGCUUUUUGAUGUUGGGAAGCCAAUUAAUCAGUUUGACGCCCCCAUCGCUCGUCGCUCGCUAGCUCGCAUCAAGGACACCACCAAAAGGAUAUAACCUCCGAACCGAACAUCAAACACAUACAUAUAUGUAUAUAAUUAUAAAACAUACAACCCAACAUCAGACUAUUAAAAUAUGAUGAUGAUGGUGCUUCGGGGGUUCAAGAGUAGAUGAAAGAGGGUGGUGCGCUUGCAUAACAACAACAACAACAUCUCUUUGUAUAGAACGCGCGUGUGAAAUUUCAGUUAAAAGUUAAUCAUGUAGAUGCUCAAGUUAAUUUUCGUCCUUUGUGCUUUAUACUGAUGCCAAUACGGGUUAUCGCCAAAAAUUUUGAUUAACUUCCAAAGUGGAAAAAGAGGGUAGAUAUAAACAAAUGUUUUCUAUAUCCUUAUUGAUUUAUUGACACUU
Long non-coding RNA from Eupeodes corollae, 1666 nucleotides. RefSeq lists it as uncharacterized. The record is from RefSeq and is a predicted model, not a curated record. The transcript has 3 exons. NCBI's taxonomy places the organism in Eukaryota, Metazoa, Arthropoda, Insecta, Diptera, Syrphidae.